AGCCGAAACCGGGCUUCGGCCCGGUCUGCGGGAAAUGGCCACCCCGUGCUGAUGAGGCAGGCCGAA
Molecule: non-coding RNA, 66 nt
Filed under: Clostridia bacterium
Lineage: Bacteria; Bacillati; Bacillota; Clostridia
Source: RNAcentral